UAGCCUACGCCGCUCAGUUGCAUACAGCUACACCAGCGCCGCUCAACGGAUGAUUCAUGCAAGUUGACAACUCUGUCAAGUUUCAGUGAGGUUUUGAAUAGGACAGUGAAAUGUGGUCAUGUUUUUUUGCGUGCUAGUGGACAUAAUCGUUUAAACUAAAGACAGGAAUUUGUAACAUGUUAUGAUAAUAACUGAGAAUUGUUACUGUGCGUUUGAAAACGUGUUAAUAUUGAAAUCGUGUGCGGAAAAGUUGUAACAGUGCGUAACAUUUAUCAGACAUACGCGUGACAGUGCAACAACUGACGUUUUGAGCGGAUCCAAUGCGUGCAAACGAACAACAGUGUAGAUCUGUAGAUAAAUAUAAUUUUGAAGAGCUUGUAGUAACUCUGGCAGUAGAAAACAAAGUGUACAUUCCACAGAACGCUAUAGGAAUAUGCUUAAUAAGGAAAGCUUGGGUAUUCAACAGGAAGAUUCAGAAGGAGCUGCUGGAUGAACCUGUGUCCAGUCACAAUACAGGGAUUCGUAUUCACAUCCUGUUGAGGGUUCCUCUAUGAGCUCUCGUAUCAGCAUAUUUGGAAAGGUCUGGGCUAUCAACUUUGAAACCAAGAAUUUGAAUCGAAGAUGGCAUAUCGAUGCUUCGCUUCAUACUGUCAUCCUCAAGAAGGACCGAAUGCUCUUCUAUGUGUACUCACCAAGAAGUCUGAGGACUCUCCACUUCUAAUGAAAUCAAAUCCUGGCCAUCAAGCUCAUAGCUCGUCACUACACCGACUGAUUUAUCAACGGAAUGUAUACAACGCUUAGGUGUGUUUCCGGUCCUGACCAGAUGCAAGGAGUUCUCGAGGAUGUCACCACCUAACGGUCUGUAUGUCGGUCUAUCGUUGCAAGGCAAUGACUAGGUGAAGAUGUUCCCGCGGCAACGAAGAAUUGUUGGUGUCUCUUCUGUGCGUUCCCUGUCUUAUGAAAGGAAAUCAGGUGAUGAGUUUU
This is a long non-coding RNA of Cryptotermes secundus, 984 nucleotides long. RefSeq lists it as uncharacterized. NCBI's taxonomy places the organism in Eukaryota, Metazoa, Arthropoda, Insecta, Blattodea, Kalotermitidae. The transcript is spliced from 6 exons. The record is from RefSeq and is a predicted model, not a curated record.